RNAcentral lists this ribosomal RNA (302 nucleotides) under uncultured bacterium. Its description in RNAcentral is "partial 16S ribosomal RNA". It matches the Rfam family "Bacterial small subunit ribosomal RNA", at positions 508 to 807 of the family's 1533-position model. The record is from RNAcentral.
GCAGUCGCCGCGGGAAUACAGAGGGUGCGAGCGUUAAUCGGAUUUACUGGGCGUAAAGCGUGCGUAGGCGGCUUCUUAAGUCGGAUGUGAAAUCCCUGAGCUUAACUUAGGAAUUGCAUUCGAUACUGGGAAGCUAGAGUAUGGGAGAGGAUGGUAGAAUUCCAGGUGUAGCGGUGAAAUGCGUAGAGAUCUGGAGGAAUACCGAUGGCGAAGGCAGCCAUCUGGCCUAAUACUGACGCUGAGGUACGAAAGCAUGGGGAGCAAACAGGAUUAGAGACCCCGGUAGUCCCUGUCUCUUAUAC